GAGUUUGAUCUUGGCUCAGGAUGAACGCUGGCGGCGUGCCUAAUACAUGCAAGUCGAGCGGACGGACGAGAAGCUUGCUUCUCUGAUGUUAGCGGCGGACGGGUGAGUAACACGUGGAUAACCUACCUAUAAGACUGGGAUAACUUCGGGAAACCGGAGCUAAUACCGGAUAAUAUUUUGAACCGCAUGGUUCAAAAGUGAAAGACGGUCUUGCUGUCACUUAUAGAUGGAUCCGCGCUGCAUUAGCUAGUUGGUAAGGUAACGGCUUACCAAGGCAACGAUGCAUAGCCGACCUGAGAGGGUGAUCGGCCACACUGGAACUGAGACACGGUCCAGACUCCUACGGGAGGCAGCAGUAGGGAAUCUUCCGCAAUGGGCGAAAGCCUGACGGAGCAACGCCGCGUGAGUGAUGAAGGUCUUCGGAUCGUAAAACUCUGUUAUUAGGGAAGACAUAUGUGUAAGUAACUGUGCACAUCUUGACGGUACCUAAUCAGAAAGCCACGGCUAACUACGU
Molecule: ribosomal RNA, 514 nt
Filed under: uncultured microorganism
Description: bacterial SSU rRNA
Rfam family: Bacterial small subunit ribosomal RNA
Source: RNAcentral